Molecule: unclassified non-coding RNA, 249 nt
Filed under: uncultured fungus
Lineage: Eukaryota; Fungi
Description: sequence contains ITS2
Rfam family: 5.8S ribosomal RNA (bases 1-52)
Source: RNAcentral
AACGCACAUUGCGCCCGCCAGUAUUCUGGCGGGCAUGCCUGUCUGAGCGUCAUUUCAACCCUCAUGCCCCAGCGGUGUGGUGUUGGGGAUCGGCCCCCCCGGGCCGUCCCCUAAAUCUAUUGGCGGACUCGCUGUAGCCUCACUCUGCGUAGUAGUGAUAUUUCGCAUUGGAGAGCGGCGAGCCCCUGCCGUAAAACCCCAACUUCUCAGGUUGACCUCAGAUCAGGUAGGAAUACCCGCUGAACUUAA